AAUUAAUGAACUUGAAUAAGUAUAUACUUUGAAAGUAUUAAAAAGAAGAAUAACCUUCUAUUAAUUU
Molecule: transfer RNA, 67 nt
Filed under: Cantonius szechuanensis
Lineage: Eukaryota; Metazoa; Arthropoda; Insecta; Coleoptera; Buprestidae
Description: tRNA-Ser
Source: RNAcentral